GACGAACGCUGGCGGCGUGCUUAACACAUGCAAGUCGAACGGAGAGGCCUCUUUCGGGGGGUACUCGAGUGGCGAACGGGUGAGUAACACGUGAGUAACCUGCCCUUGACUUUGGGAUAACUUCAGGAAACUGGGGCUAAUACCGGAUAGGAGCUCCUGCUGCAUGGUGGGGGUUGGAAAGUUUCGGCGGUUGGGGAUGGACUCGCGGCUUAUCAGCUUGUUGGUGGGGUAGUGGCUUACCAAGGCUUUGACGGGUAGCCGGCCUGAGAGGGUGACCGGCCACAUUGGGACUGAGAUACGGCCCAGACUCCUACGGGAGGCAGCAGUGGGGAAUAUUGCACAAUGGGUGGAAGCCUGAUGCAGCAACGCCGUGUGCGGGAUGACGGCCUUCGGGUUGUAAACCGCUUUCGCUCAUGACGAAGCUUUGCGUGACGGUAGUGGGUAAAGAAGCACCGGCUAACUACGUG
This 467-nucleotide ribosomal RNA is filed under the name uncultured bacterium. Its description in RNAcentral is "partial 16S ribosomal RNA". It matches the Rfam family "Bacterial small subunit ribosomal RNA", at positions 28 to 507 of the family's 1533-position model. The record is from RNAcentral.